This 355-nucleotide ribosomal RNA is filed under the name Busseola segeta. RNAcentral describes it as "partial 12S small subunit ribosomal RNA". The record is from RNAcentral. Lineage: Eukaryota; Metazoa; Arthropoda; Insecta; Lepidoptera; Noctuidae.
AAAAAAUAAAAUUAAAAUACUAAAAUAGUAUAUAAAUGAGUAUUUAUUGAAACUUAAAUAAUUUGGCGGUAUUUUAGUUCAUUUAGAGGAAUCUGUUUAAUAAUUGAUAUUCCACGAAUAAAUUUACUUAAUUUAUAAUUUUGUAUAUCGUUGUUAUAAAAAUAUUUUUUAAUAAAAUUAAUAUUUAAAAUUUAUUAAUAUAAAUUAAAUCAGAUCAAGAUGCAGAUUAUAAUUAAGAAUAUAAUGGAUUACAAUAAAUUUAUUUAAAUGAAUUUUAAUUUGUAAAAAUUAAUUGAAAGUGGAUUUAAAUGUAAUUUUAUUUAAUUUAAUAAAAUGAUUAAAAAUUAAAAUAUGU